CCUACGGGGGGCUGCAGUGGGGAAUUUUGCGCAAUGGGCGAAAGCCUGACGCAGCAACGCCGCGUGAGUGAUGAAGGCUUUCGGGUCGUAAAGCUCUGUCAAUGGGAAAGAAGUGUAUUGUAGCUAAUAUCUGCGAUACUUGACGGUACCCAUAAAGGAAGCCCCGGCUAACUCCGUGCCAGCAGCCGCGGUAAUACGGGGGGUGCAAGCGUUGUUCGGAAGUAUUGGGCGUAAAGCGCGAGUAGGAUGUGAAGGCCCUGGGCUAAACCCAGGAAGUGCAUUGGAAACUGGCAGACGUGAAUACGGGAGAGGGUAGUGGAAUUCCUGGUGUAGGAGUGAAAUCCGUAGAUAUCAGGAGGAACACCGGUGGCGAAGGCGGCUGCCUGGACCGAUAUUGACGCUGAGACGCGAAAGCGUGGGUAGCAAACAGGAUUAGAUACCCCUGUAGUC
Molecule: ribosomal RNA, 450 nt
Filed under: uncultured bacterium
Lineage: Bacteria
Description: partial 16S ribosomal RNA
Rfam family: Bacterial small subunit ribosomal RNA
Source: RNAcentral